GGCACGCCUAACACAUGCAAGUCGAACGAAGUAGCAAUACUUAGUGGCGAACGGGUGAGUAUAAUGUGGGUAUCUGCCUUUUGGUUUGGAAUAACACGGGGAAACUUGUGCUAAUACCAAAUAAGCCUUCACAGGGAAAGUUUUAACGCCAAAAGAUGAGCCCGCACUUGAUUAGCUAGUUGGUAAGGUAAUGGCUUACCAAGGCUACGAUCAAUAGCUGAUCUGAGAGGAUGAUCAGCCACAUUGGGACUGAGACACGGCCCAAACUCCUACGGGAGGCAGCAGUGGGGAAUCUUGCACAAUGGGGGAAACCCUGAUGCAGCGAUGCCGCGUGAGUGAAGAAGGCCUUUGGGUUGUAAAGCUCUUUCGUCGGGGAAGAAAAUGACUGUACCCGAAUAAGAAGGUCCGGCUAACUUCGUGCCAGCAGCCGCGGUAAUACGAAGGGACCUAGCGUAGUUCGGAAUUACUGGGCUUAAAGAGCUCGUAGGUGGUUAGAAAAGUUGGUGGUGAAAUCCCAAGGCUUAACCUUGGAACUGCCAUCAAAACUUUUUAACUUGAGUAUGAUAGAGGAAAGUGGAAUUUCUAGUGUAGAGGUGAAAUUCGUAGAUAUUAGAAAGAACACCGAUUGCGAAGGCAGCUUUCUGGAUCAUUACUGACACUGAGGAGCGAAAGCAUGGGUAGCGAAGAGGAUUAGAUACCCUCGUAGUCCAUGCCGUAAACGAUGUGUGCUAGACGUUGGAAAUUUAUUUUUCAGUGUCGCAGCAAAAGCGUUAAGCACACCGCCUGGGGAGU
Molecule: ribosomal RNA, 792 nt
Filed under: uncultured Pelagibacteraceae bacterium
Lineage: Bacteria; Pseudomonadati; Pseudomonadota; Alphaproteobacteria; Candidatus Pelagibacterales; Candidatus Pelagibacteraceae
Description: bacterial SSU rRNA
Rfam family: Bacterial small subunit ribosomal RNA
Source: RNAcentral